AAAAUCCGUUGGCUUUAGUGACCGUGAGGGUUCAAGUCCCUCUACCCCCA
Molecule: transfer RNA, 50 nt
Filed under: Aplodon wormskioldii
Lineage: Eukaryota; Viridiplantae; Streptophyta; Bryopsida; Splachnales; Splachnaceae
Also listed under: 7 other names
Description: partial tRNA-Leu
Source: RNAcentral